GUUCAAGGGCUGAAGGCAAUCCUACUCUACUCCUGGAUCUAUUUACUAGGUAAAUGAAGAGCUGAUCUGAUUUUAUGGAGAAAGAAAAGCAACCACACAGGAGGUGGACAUUACCUUUGCUAUGUGCUUCUCCUUGUUCUGAAAGAAGGGAGUAAUGAGAGUAAGGCAGACACUCAAAGAUGCUUCAGAGUGAAGGAUGCACGUUAUCACUUAUUGCAGCAGUGAGAGAAUCUUCAAGGAAAUAACUGAAAACAGCAAGGAACCUAGGGAGCACUGAGCUUAAAGACUUGGCGUUAAUUCUCUGCCAGAAGCUGUGAAUUGCAGUGUUGGCUAUGACCCCUAGGCCAGGGCUGCUGUUCCUGCCUGUGUAGAGCCUAACUGGAAACAGAUAUACAGAAUACAAAACUGUGUCUGCAAUGCUCCUCAGAAGAACAGAAGAGGGUUGUAUCAAACGUGCACCUUGUAUUCUCAGUUUACAUGGAGAGCACCCGCUCAAAUGGUGACACUUUCAGUCUGUCUGUGCAAUGAUGCACUUUUGCCAGUUUGUCAGACAAGAUGUCGAAGGGAGAUGUUUGAGUCACAACGUAGCUCCAGAGCAUGGCUGUCAUUUUUAGUUCAGCCUGUUCCCAUCCAGGUCUGAUAUGGCCUCUCCCACCACUCAGUCCUUUCCCAGAAGGAAUCAUAGGAUAUGCUGAGUUGGGAGGGACCCAGAAGGAGCCUUAAAUUCCUGUUUGUGGCCCUGCACAGGACACCCUAGGCAUCACACCAUGUGCCUGAGAAUAUUUUCCAAACACUGCUUUGGUACUCUGACAAUCUUGGUGCUGGGACCACCUCUCCAGGGAACCUAUUCAGUGUCUGAGGAUGAAGAACCUCUUCCUGAUGUCUUCAUUCCUACCACACAAGAACCUAAAAGUUGAAGAUAAAAAUGGUGCAAUUUCCAGUGUCAGUAAUGCUGGUUCAUACCACUUUGCAGCACAAUUAAAGGGUAAAUUGGAUGCCACCACAUUUAGAUGAAAAUAGAAAUUACACUGAUCCCAGGUAUUUUCUCUACUAAUUUCUGAUGUUAUGAUAAACAGGUAAGUAUCAGAACAUAA
This is a long non-coding RNA of Hirundo rustica (Barn swallow), 1094 nucleotides long. RefSeq lists it as uncharacterized. Lineage: Eukaryota; Metazoa; Chordata; Aves; Passeriformes; Hirundinidae. The record is from RefSeq and is a predicted model, not a curated record. The transcript has 3 exons.